UACAGAGGUCACAAGCGUUAUCCGGAUUUAUUGGGCGUAAAGCGUUUCGUAGGUUACUUGCCAAGUUGCUCUUCAAAUACCGAGGCUCAACCUCGGGAAGGGGAGUAAGACUGGUAAGAUUGAAUAGUGGUGGGGUUUCUAGAACUGGUGGUGUAGUAGUGAAAUACGUUGAUAUCAUCAGGAAUUCCAAGGGCGAAGGCAGGAAACUAACCAUUUAUUGACACUGAGGAACGACAGCUAGGGGA
RNAcentral lists this ribosomal RNA (245 nucleotides) under uncultured bacterium. Its description in RNAcentral is "partial 16S ribosomal RNA". It matches the Rfam family "Bacterial small subunit ribosomal RNA", at positions 524 to 767 of the family's 1533-position model. The record is from RNAcentral.